RNAcentral lists this ribosomal RNA (514 nucleotides) under uncultured bacterium. RNAcentral's name for it is "bacterial SSU rRNA". It matches the Rfam family "Bacterial small subunit ribosomal RNA", at positions 8 to 524 of the family's 1533-position model. The record is from RNAcentral.
AGAGUUUGAUCCUGGCUCAGAUUGAACGCUGGCGGCAUGCCUAACACAUGCAAGUCGAACGGGGUGCUUCGGCACCUAGUGGCGGACGGGUGAGUAAUGCAUAGGAACCUAUCCUGUAGUGGGGGACAACCCAGGGAAACUUGGGCUAAUACCGCAUACGCCCUGCGGGGGAAAGCGGGGGAUCUUCGGACCUCGCGCUACUGGAGGGGCCUAUGUCCCACUAGCUAGUUGGUGGGGUAAAGGCCUACCAAGGCGACGAUCGGUAGCUGGUCUGAGAGGAUGAUCAGCCACACUGGGACUGAGACACGGCCCAGACUCCUACGGGAGGCAGCAGUGGGGAAUUUUUCGCAAUGGGGGCAACCCUGACGAAGCAAUGCCGCGUGAAUGAAGAAGGCCUUCGGGUUGUAAAGUUCUUUCGUGGGGGACGAAAAGGGCGACGCGAAUACCGUUGUCUGUUUGACUUGAAACCCAAGAAGAAACAACGGGUAACUCCGUGACCAGCAGCCCCGGUAAU